CAGCCGCCGCGGGAAUACGGAGGGUGCAAGCGUUAAUCGGAAUUACUGGGCGUAAAGCGCACGCAGGCGGUCUGACAAGUCAGAUGUGAAAUCCCCGGGCUUAACCUGGGACGUGCAUUUAAUACUGUAUGACUAGAGUAUGGUAGAGGAAAGGGGAAUUCCUGGUGUAGCAGUGAAAUGCGUAGAGAUCAGGAGGAACAUCGGUGGCGAAGGCGCCUUUCUGGACUAAUACUGACACUGAGGAGCGAAGGCGUGGGGAGCAAACAGGAUUAGAUACCCGAGUAGUCCCUGUCUCUUAUAC
Molecule: ribosomal RNA, 301 nt
Filed under: uncultured bacterium
Lineage: Bacteria
Description: partial 16S ribosomal RNA
Rfam family: Bacterial small subunit ribosomal RNA
Source: RNAcentral